GGAGAGACUGGCUGGAUAGUGUUCUGUAUAUAAGGAAAAAAUAACUCAGUUGGACGACGGCCAUCUGCUGGUUACAAAUGCAUACCAAUUUCAAAGAUGUCCUGGAAAGAAUGUGUCUUAGAAUUGGUGAGAUGGAGACGUUGGAGAAGAGACAACUGAGGGGAGACACGACAGCUGCUGUCCAACAGGAAGGACUUAAAUGAGGAAGAGGGCCAGUCUAUUCUCUAGUAUAUACUGAAGAUAAUUUUAGUAAUCAUACAUGAGUGCUCUUUAAACGUUUUGGAAGAAUGCGUCAAGUUUCAAGGGUGGUGUGUUGUCAACAAACGGCUGAGUCUGCCUGAUUCUUCAAGGAUCGGCCCUAUUGAUACUCAUUUGUAGUGAAAAAAGUUUUAAACAUUGAUCAUUCUUCAAAAAUAUACAGCUCAAUAAGAAAAAGUUACAUGUGGGACUGACAUAAAUAGUUUCAUCUUUUGUAUAAAAAUAAAGAUUUGGGGCAGCCAGAAUGUUUGGAAGCUACCUUUAAAUCUACAUACUGAACAUUUAUUUUAAGAUGUCGUUUUCAUUACCAUAUGUAACAGUUGCAUGAAAAAAUGGAUUGUCUUUAAAAGAAAAUUUUAUCUGUUAAAUAUUUCCCCUCUUAAGAGAGUUAGAC
This 652-nucleotide long non-coding RNA is filed under the name Equus caballus (horse). Its description in RNAcentral is "lncRNA (ENSECAG00000050862.1)". Lineage: Eukaryota; Metazoa; Chordata; Mammalia; Perissodactyla; Equidae. The record is from RNAcentral.